UACGUAGGGUGCAAGCGUUGUCCGGAAUUAUUGGGCGUAAAGAGCUUGUAGGCGGUUUGUCGCGUCUGCUGUGAAAACCCGAGGCUCAACCUCGGGCCUGCAGUGGGUACUGGCAGGCUAGAGUGCGGUAGGGGAGAUUGGAAUUCCUGGUGUAGCGGUGGAAUGCGCAGAUAUCAGGAGGAACACCAAUGGCGAAGGCAGAUCUCUGGGCCGUAACUGACGCUGAGGAACGAAAGCGUGGGGAGCGAACAGG
This 253-nucleotide ribosomal RNA is filed under the name uncultured bacterium. Its description in RNAcentral is "partial 16S ribosomal RNA". It matches the Rfam family "Bacterial small subunit ribosomal RNA", at positions 524 to 776 of the family's 1533-position model. The record is from RNAcentral.